This 520-nucleotide ribosomal RNA is filed under the name uncultured prokaryote. Its description in RNAcentral is "bacterial SSU rRNA". It matches the Rfam family "Bacterial small subunit ribosomal RNA", at positions 355 to 905 of the family's 1533-position model. The record is from RNAcentral.
UUCUGACUAGUCAUAGUGCAGGGUUCCUACAUGCAUAAGACUGGGUGUGGAUGGUCGACCUCCUCCAGGAGGAAUAACUAAAUGACGUAUACCUGAAGAAUAAGCAUCGGCUAACUCCGUGCCACCAGCCGCGGUAAGACGGGGGAUGCAAGUGUUAUCCGGAAUCACUGGGCGUAAAGCGUCUGUAGGUGGUUUAAUAAGUCAACUGUUAAAUCUUGAGGCUCAACCUCGAAAUCGCAGUCGAAACUAUUACACUAGAGUAUAGUAGGGGUAAAGGGAAUUUCCAGUGGACCGGUGAAAUGCGUAGAUAUUGGAAAGAACACCGAUGGCGAACGCACUUCACUGGGCUAUCACUAACACUGAGAGACCACAGCUAGGGUAGCAAAUGGGAUUAGAUACCCCAGUAGUCCUAGCCGUAAACAAUGGAUACUAGAUGUUGAACAGAUCGACCUGUGCAGUAUCACAGCUAACGCGUUAAGUAUCCCGCCUGGGAAGUAUGCUCGCAAGAGUGAAACUCAAA